CUCAUCUCCAUAUACACGAAUUACACUACCUGGACGGUUUCCAGAGCCUGCGGCUGCUUUAUUAGUUUCUGUUAACGGAAUGGAGAUGAUGACACCAUUUCCUGUUCCUACCCAUAAACGAUUACAAGACACCAUAAGAGCUGUGAUUCUCACAAAUGAGAAUCCCAGUUUACCAGUACCUAACAUUUUGCUUACAUAAGGUUCAAUGUCCACAUCUUGCAGGUGCUGAUACGUGUGUGCAUGAUAGAGACGCAGGGUAGAGUCCAAACGAAUCGACACCCAUACCCCAUCACCCACCCAUGCCAGCUGUCUCACUUGGCUUUCUCUUCUUGGGUGUGCAUCAAAUGACUUCUCUAUUUUCAUGGCCUUUGGUUGAACAACAUAGAUUUUGUUCCUGUAGCCACACCAGACUUUGUCAUGCACCACUGUCAUGCAUCUUAUAGAAUGAUGCGGCCGGCCCAGGUCUAAGAGGUGAUAGUUUGUCAAAUCCCACUGACCAUCAACUCCUCGGUGAAAUAUUGCUAGUGUUCCAUCAGCUAGUGCAACUAAUACUAUUCCUUUCACAUGUACAAUACUGAGAAUAGAAUCUUUAAGUUUAAUGGCAUGAAUACAUUUCCUCCAGUGAGCCACUGACGAAUGAACAUAGAGGCAUCCAUUCUGUGUUCCAAGCCACAUUGUUGGUAAAAGGCUACUCAUUUUCUGUGCUUCUUCUCUCACUAGAUCUUGUUCAUUUGGCAAAACUGCAACAUCUUUAUAUAGCUCUGACUCAGUGCCAGGCUGGUAUACUGGAGACGCCUCUGUGUUCUGCACUCCCAGAGGAUCUGUAAAGACGUGCUCUGUAUAGACUCCAGUUUGUCCAAUAUCAGUUAUAUCUUCUGUCCCUGCACUGACUUCUGUUGCUUCUGUCGCCUCUUCUGCAGUUGGAAUGUUGUCAUCUACUGAAUUAUUUUCAUUUGCAAUAUCUGACUGUUUCUCUGCCAUUGGUGAGGCACCGUUUGCACUAUGACCUACAGGUGCUCCUGUAACACCCUCUGCAGUACAGCCAACCACUGUUAUUCCUCCCAGCAUGCUAUCAGUCUCAGCAGAGCUGUUGCUUGUCAUACUUCCACACAGAGAUGACUUGUCCACCUGAUUGGGAUCCACUUCUUGAGACCCUUCCUCUCCUGCAGGAUAGUCU
This 1177-nucleotide long non-coding RNA is filed under the name Gallus gallus (chicken). Lineage: Eukaryota; Metazoa; Chordata; Aves; Galliformes; Phasianidae. The record is from RNAcentral.